This is a long non-coding RNA of Orbicella faveolata, 756 nucleotides long. The record is from RefSeq and is a predicted model, not a curated record. Lineage: Eukaryota; Metazoa; Cnidaria; Anthozoa; Scleractinia; Merulinidae.
AUCUGAGAUGGACUUAGUACAUCCUAUUCAGGGUUGGGAGAGGUGGGGAGGGAAGUAGCAAUUCUCUGGUUAACUUAGGCUUCAGGAAACCAUCAGAAGCCCCUAGUUGGCUUGAGUGAGAAGCUAAACUUAUUUCUGUUCUGUACAUAUACACAUGGAAGAUCAAUAAAAAUGCAAUCUUUCAUCAUGUAGGUCAGGAACCUUUCACUUUGUCCACACAGCAUCAAGACAGAUUUUGUUUUCCCAGGAGCUGGAAUCCAUUGAAAAUUCAGACAUCACUUGUGAAAGUACCUUUCUUUCUAUGGUGUUUACCACUCCAACAUGUGAAGGAGAUUGCAACUUAGUGAUUUUGUCUGCUUCUGGUGUGGUCACUGAGUUUUCUAACCUGUACUUGGGAAAGUUGAAUGACGGUAAGUGCUGUAACUUGCCUUGUCUGCAGAUGUAUGUUUUUAAAAGAGGUUUUAACUUUGCAGCAUUGCAUAAGCAAUGGUUGCUAAGUUUGUCAGUAUGCAUUGACAUGUCAAUAUUUGGAUAGAAACACCAUGUUGGAUCAUUAAAGCAGCAUGUUAGCUUGCUUGUAUUUAUUUAAUUGUAAACAAGUACACUUAGUCAGGGCUCGAAAUUAACUUUUUCGUCCAGGAGCCAGCUGGCGAAUAACGGAGAAAUUUUGGUCACCAGAUCGUAAAGUUUGGUCACCAACUUUUUUUAUAUAUAACUUACACAAGAACACGAUUUUAUACGUUACUUUGCAUGCAA